Molecule: ribosomal RNA, 492 nt
Filed under: uncultured bacterium
Lineage: Bacteria
Description: partial 16S ribosomal RNA
Rfam family: Bacterial small subunit ribosomal RNA
Source: RNAcentral
AGUGAACGCUGGCGGUAGGCCUAACACAUGCAAGUCGAACGGCAGCACAGUAAGAGCUUGCUCUUACGGGUGGCGAGUGGCGGACGGGUGAGGAAUACAUCGGAAUCUACUUUUUCGUGGGGGAUAACGUAGGGAAACUUACGCUAAUACCGCAUACGACCUACGGGUGAAAGCAGGGGAUCUUCGGACCUUGCGCGAUUGAAUGAGCCGAUGUCGGAUUAGCUAGUUGGCGGGGUAAAGGCCCACCAAGGCGACGAUCCGUAGCUGGGCUGAGAGGAUGAGCGGCCACACUGGAACUGAGACACGGUCCAGACUCCUACGGGAGGCAGCAGUGGGGAAUAUUGGACAAUGGGCGCAAGCCUGAUCCAGCCAUACCGCGUGGGUGAAGAAGGCCUUCGGGUUGUAAAGCCCUUUUGUUGGGAAAGAAAAGCAGCAGGUUAAUACCCCGCUGUUCUGACGGUACCCAAAGAAUAAGCACCGGCUAACUUCGUG